GGUUAACUUUUAAGGUUUGGUCUGGCACAACUAUAUUUCAACGGAGGUAGGAGACACUCACGAGGCAAGAUCACUUCACAAGGGCUAUUAUAGCAAAGAAAAUCGCUGGGUCUGCAAUUCUGGAUCAAAGGACGGAGAAAAGAUCCAAAUUCGUUGAUGGAGUUAGAGCUUCCCUACAGCAGAGUCUUAGGUAAUUUAUGUUCCGACCAAGAUUUUACUGCAAAACCAAAUUAUGAAUGCUUAAUCUGAGCUAUUUCUCACUCAGUUUCCUCUAGGUCUCUACCAAUUAUUGUUUUUCUUUUGAGGUGGAUGCAGCUGCUGGUCACACUUUAACCACACGUCAAUUGCACGAGUGGUGUGGCGCCAUCCUGUACCACAAAUCAUGCCAAGAAUGAUGGGUGGUGUAAUCCUAUGCUAGCUAUAGUGCUAGACUGAUUUCGGAAACUCUUGGAGCUCAUCUUUUGGCCUGAAACACCAAGAACUAACCUGCCACCGCACUGACUACUGAUUAAUACAAUGGAGUUCAUUUGAUCCAUCUGAUAAAAUACCUAUUGGCGAAUAAGCGUGAAAAGUAAUCACCCACUCUUUCCGCAGUGGAAUUCGGGUAUGCCCGCUCAUCUAUUUAUUUGACUGUUGUUAUAAAUAGGUUCAUCCGGGUCUGAAAUGUUAAUGGAGUUGUUUCAUUCCUCACACAAUCCCUUUCAAUUGGAUCAGUUCUCCUUUUUGAAUCACUCUAUAUUCCAUACAUAUAUGUUUAUUAUGUUAAUCGAGACUUUAGAGCAAGACAUUUAUUUUGUUGAUAUUACCUUCAAGGGAACAUGGUACCUACGAUGCAGGAGGACUAUUGGAAAUCAGUUUUAAAUCUAAUCAAGUGUAUACUUCUCCUUUGUCUCUUCUGCAGCCAUGAUGUUAAGAAGUUCAGUGUAGGCAGGAGAAAAAAAUCUUGAGGAGUAUGUUCAUAUGGUCAAGGAUGGUAUCAUCGACCCUGUGAAAGUGAUCCAAACUACACUUCAAAAUGCAGCAAGAACAAGUACUCUGAUGAUGGCAAGAAGCAUAAUGUUAAAUGAACUGGGUAAUGUUGAGGUUGAUGAUAGCUUGCUUGUGUAAGUUUUUAUAAGUUGUACAAAGCCAUGAAAC
Molecule: long non-coding RNA, 1137 nt
Organism: Triticum aestivum (bread wheat)
Lineage: Eukaryota; Viridiplantae; Streptophyta; Magnoliopsida; Poales; Poaceae
Exons: 4
Source: RefSeq, a predicted model, not a curated record